UAGGGAAUAUUAGAAAUGGACGAAAGUCUGAUCUAGCAACACCGCGUGUGCGAAGAAGGCCUUCGGGUUGUAAAGCACUUUUUGAGAGGAUGAGGAAGGACGGUACUCUCAGAAUAAGUCUCGGCUAACUACGUGCCAGCAGCCGCGGUAAAACGUAGGAGGCGAGCGUUAUCCGGAUUUACUGGGCGUAAAGCGUGUGUAGGCGGUUUGAUAAGUUGGAUGUGAAAGCUCCUGGCUUAACUGGGAGAGGUCGUUCAAAACUAUCAGACUUGAGAGUGGUAGAGGGAGGUGGAAUUCCGCAUGUAGUGGUGAAAUGCGUAGAUAUGCGGAGGAACACCAGUGGCGAAAGCGGCCUCCUGGCCCAUUUCUGACGCUCAGACACGAAAGCUAAGGUAGCAAACG
RNAcentral lists this ribosomal RNA (402 nucleotides) under uncultured prokaryote. RNAcentral describes it as "bacterial SSU rRNA". It matches the Rfam family "Bacterial small subunit ribosomal RNA", at positions 355 to 774 of the family's 1533-position model. The record is from RNAcentral.